AGAGUUUGAUCCUGGCUCAGGACGAACGCUGGCGGCGUGCCUAACACAUGCAAGUCGAGCGGGGAAGGCCUUCGGGUUUUUCCAGCGGCGGACGGGUGAGUGUAACGCGUGAGCAACCUUUCCUUCACAGGGGGAUAACGCAGCGAAAGCUGUGCUAAUACCGCAUAAGACCACGAUGUCGCAUGGCAAAGGGGUCAAAGGAGAAAUCCAGUGAAGGGUGGGCUCGCGUCUGAUUAGCUAGUUGGCGGGGUAACGGCCCACCAAGGUAUCGAUCAGUAGCCGACCUGAGAGGGUGAUCGGCCACACUGGGACUGAGACACGGCCCAGACUCCUACGGGAGGCAGCAGUGGGGAAUCUUCCGCAAUGGACGAAAGUCUGACGGAGCGACGCCGCGUGAGUGAUGAAGGCCCUUGGGUCGUAAAGCUCUGUGAUAUUGAUGCUUAUGUUUGACGGUACAAUAAGAGGAAGCCACGGCUAACUACGUGCCAGCAGCCGCGGUAAUACGUAGGUGGCAAGCGUUGUCCGGAAUUACUGGGCGUAAAGGGAGCGUAGGCGGUCUUUUAAGUUAGAUGUGAAAUACCCGGGCUCAACUUGGGAGGUGCAUCUAAAACUGGAAGACUUGAGUGCAGGAGAGGGCAAUGGAAUUCCAUGUGUAGCGGUAAAAUGCGUAGAUAUAUGGAGGAACACCAGUGGCGAAGGCGGCUGCCUGGCCUGUAACUGACGCUGAGGCGCGAAAGCGUGGGGAGCAAACAGGAUUAGAUACCCUGGUAGUCCACGCCGUAAACGAUGAGUGCUAGGUGUCGGGGGUAUCGACCCCCUCGGUGCCACAGCUAACGCAAUAAGCACUCCGCCUGGGGAGUACGGUCGCAAGACUGAAACUCAAAGGAAUUGACGGGGGCCCGCACAAGCGGUGGAGUAUGUGGUUUAAUUCGACGCAACGCGAAGAACCUUACCAAGGCUUGACAUCCCGUGACAGCUAUGGAAACAUAGUCUUUCGCCUUCGGGUGAACACGGAGACAGGUGGUGCAUGGUUGUCGUCAGCUCGUGUCGUGAGAUGUUGGGUUAAGUCCCGCAACGAGCGCAACCCCUACAGCUAGUUGCCAGCACAUAAAGGUGGGAACUCUAGCAGAACUGCCGUUGACAAAACGGAGGAAGGUGGGGAUGACGUCAAAUCAUCAUGCCCCUUAUGUCCUGGGCUACACACGUACUACAAUGGCCUGAACAGAGGGAAGCGAAGGAGUGAUGUGAAGCGAAACCCAAAAAAGCAGUCUCAGUUCGGAUCGUGGGCUGCAACCCGCCCACGUGAAGCCGGAGUUGCUAGUAAUCGCGAAUCAGCAUGUCGCGGUGAAUGCGUUCCCGGGCCUUGUACACACCGCC
RNAcentral lists this ribosomal RNA (1377 nucleotides) under uncultured bacterium. Its description in RNAcentral is "bacterial SSU rRNA". It matches the Rfam family "Bacterial small subunit ribosomal RNA". The record is from RNAcentral.